UCGGGUAUUUGUUUUGUUUUAGAGCACGACCUUGCCAAGGUCGGGGUCGCGAGUUCGAGUCUCGUUUCCCGCUCCA
This 76-nucleotide transfer RNA is filed under the name Klebsiella pneumoniae. Its description in RNAcentral is "tRNA-Gly". It matches the Rfam family "tRNA". From Rfam's summary of the family: Transfer RNA (tRNA) molecules are approximately 80 nucleotides in length. Their secondary structure includes four short double-helical elements and three loops (D, anti-codon, and T loops). Lineage: Bacteria; Pseudomonadati; Pseudomonadota; Gammaproteobacteria; Enterobacterales; Enterobacteriaceae. The record is from RNAcentral.